GAAAACUUCUUUUUGUUUAAAUCUAGAAUAGCAAUAUAUCUAUCAUAUAGAAUAUAGAUAGAUCUAGACUCUAAUAUAGAUCUAUAUCUAGACUCUAGGCCUUCUACUAAGUUCUCUAGAAUCUAGAGUCUCUAGAUCUAGAUUCUAGUCAUUCUAGAUCUAGAUCUCUAGCUAGUACUAGAUCUAUUAAUAUUAAUUACUAAUAAAUAGUAGGCCUAAGUAAUAGUACUAGAUCUAGGUUAAACUAGGUAGUAGACUAGUAGUAGUACUAGUAGAAGUAGUAGGCAUAACUUUAUAUAGUAAUAGAUCUAGUACUAAUACUGUUACUUUACUAUUAGUAUUACUAGAUCUAUAGUAUAGUAAAAUACUAAAAUUAGUAAAACAAUAGUAAUUAAGUAAUACUAACUUUACUACUUAUAGUUAAGUUUGUGUAGUAAUAGUCUAGUUACAAGUCUAUUAAUAGUAAAUAUUUAGGCCUAUACGGUGAUACCCUUUAGAAAAUAUAUAUAUACUAAUAUUAUAUAGAACUAUUAUGCUGAUUGCCUCCGAUACUAUUUAACUAUUAAGUGAUAAGUCUAUAAUUAGUAUUAUCAUUUAUGAUUUUUAUUUGUGAUAUACUAUGUUACAUGUACAUCAGCUAGUACUAUAAUGUACACUACUUAAAUUAUAACCUAAUUCUUGAAAAAGUCAUAUAGAUUAGAUCUAGAGUCUAGAGCUAAUACAGACUAAAACUUUGACUUACUUAGAUUUACACUUAGGUCCUCCCGCACCAUUCGGCAUAUUGGGCAGCAAGCUGUCUCCAUAAAGAUCUGUCGUUGGCAAUGUCUGAAGCCUCCUCCCACCUGGUGUCCACUGUUCUGAGGUCCUAUACGAAGGUGUGGCGCCAAGUAAUAUGAUGAUGUCCCUGUUUGCGCUUUCCUCGUAUUGGCCUCCAUGUCAUCGCAACUCUUGGUAUACGUAGUUCAUUUUGUCAUAGAACAUAUCCCGCAAACCUCAUGCAAUGCUCUGUCACAACCUCACUAAGUGUUCGACUCCCAGUUCGGCAAAGGAUUUCCUUGUUUGAGACCCGAUCUGUGUAACUGACUCCCAAAAUUCGUGUCAGCCAUUUUUGUUGAGCCACAUUUAGCCUUUUCUCAAUUUUGACAGAUGAUUUCUAUGUCUCACAUGCAUAUGUUGCAGUUGGGAUGACAAUUGUGUUAAGGUGUAUUUUUGUCUCGCACCCAAUGGCUUGGCUUGGCCAAAUAGGCUGCAGCCUUUAGAAAAUGCUCCCUGCCUUUCCUAUUCGGCUCGCUACCUCAUGGUAGGCAUCCCCAUCAUUUGUUAUUAUGCUGCCAAGGUAAGUGAACUUGUCCAGCUCUUCAAACUUUGACUCGCCAAGUCUGACGGGGGCCCCUUUGCCUUUUAUCCCACUCGCAAAAUUUUGGUCUUAUCUAAGUUUAUGCGGAGGCCAAUUUUGGGUGCUUCUCUAUCUAGGCUCUCUGUCAUUUCUUGUAUGCCUUUAUUUGUAGCCCCGAGUAGUGCAAUGUCAUCAGCAAAGUCCAAGUCCAUUAUUCGAUUUUGUUCACGCCAUGGAAUACCAAAGGCAGUCUGUCUCAUUGCUCUCCUCAUUAUGUAAUCAAUGGCUAGGAGGAAAAGGAAGGGAGAUAAGAUGCACCCCCUGUCUCACACCUGCUGAAAAACUUGGUUGUUCCUUCUUCUGUUUUAAUGCAGCAACUAGACUGACUGUGUAGGUGUCGUAGGAUCUGGAUGAAUUUUUCUGGGAUGCCAUAUUCUCUAACUAUUUUCCAUAGUGAUUCUUUGAAGGGUGAAAAAAUCUCUAGCUUUCAUUCCCCUCUAAAGAAGCUGAUUGUCUGUAUGCUUGAACUUUCAAGUAAAGAAUAGGCUAAAAAGCAUCUUGAAACAAGAAUACUUUCAUCAUAUUGAAGACUGUUGGUAAAGAUGUUCUACUAGAAAUUAAUUUGAUCACAAUCAUAAAUAAUCUGUCAGCAAGUAGAUUGCUGAUCUUCAUAUAUUUUGAAUAUAGAUAAGUUAUUGUAUACAGUAGAACAGGGGUGGGCAACCUUUUUGUAUUGAGGGCCGCAUUUAAAAAAAUGUUAAAAAUUGGGGGUUAUAUAUUUUUAUAUAUAUAUAUAUAUAUAUAUAUAUUAGGGGUGCACCAGAUAGUCGCUCCGGCUUCUGCCGAAUAUCACCUAUUUAAUAUGCAUAAAGUGGACCUCGUUCCAUUAAUGUCUGUUGUAGAAUGUUUUAAUGUUUAUAAUGUGCUUAAAAAUAGAGCCAUUAUGAAUAUGCACCAAACAUCGUUUAUUAUAAAGACAAGGCGUGUUAAUAACUUAAUAUAAAUAGAAAUGAAACUUUACAUCAUAAAUGCGCUUUACAUACAGAGCAGCAAUGGCUGGCACUUUUUUCAAUUUGUCUUGACCUUUGAGUAGCUUAGUUAACAUGUUAAAAUGCUACAUUCCUUGACUACGUCAUGCUGACCAGACGUCUGUCUAGCUGUGCAGGUAUAUCUCCAGAGGUAGAGAUGAACAACUCCCACCCCUUUUAUUUGUUUAGUCCAUCACAUUGAGGUUUUUUUAUAGGUAGGUGACCACAAGUUAAAUACGAUGGACGUAGGUUUAAUGUCAGCGUAUUGACACUCUCUAGAGGUCACACCUUUCGAGGGAACUAAGUUUGUUUACUUAGUAGUUAAUCUUUAUUAAGGGGGCUGGACUACAAGAGCCACACCUCUAAGGUAACUAGGUAUAUUUCCAGAUGAACAACUCCCUCCCCCUUUUAUUUGUUUAGUCCAUCACAUUGAGUUCAUUGAUUACGAUGGACGUAAGCACUCUCUAGAGGUCACACGAGGGAACUAUGUUUUUUAAUUAGUAGUUAAUCUUAAUUGGGGGGGGGUGGACUGGACUUCAAGCCAAACAUCUACACGGGUAUCCGGACAAAGAGUUUGCUUAUUUGGAGAAAAAUCUUAAUCACGUGUUUGGGCUAGAGGCCACACCUUUUCAAGUGUGCCGAGUCACUUGAACAUAAAUCUCAAUUAGUAAGCUGGACUAAAGAUCAAAUGCAUCUAAACGAGUGACCUUUAGCUACACAGAACUCAAACCGCGAGAUUAUAUAGUCCAGUUAGCCAGUUACUAAUUAUUUUGUAGAAGACACGACCAGGGCUAUCUUUAAAUGGAGAGCUAAACACCCCCUACUCUUUAUUUUAUUUCUUUGGUCUUUGACACCCAAUUUAUUGAUAGACAUUUACCAUUUAUAAGCCAGAAUGAAAAAAACACAACGUGCUAACAAAGGAUAUUACACUGUCAAUAAAUAUUACGGUUAAAUAAUUUUUUUCUAACGUGUUAACUUGAAUAUUACUCCUGCAGUUAAGUGUCUUGAUUUGAUAACAAUAUUCUUAAUAAUUAGUGACACUCAAUUAACUCCUUGUUAUUACUAAUUUUUUUUUACUUAAGAUGCGUACUUAGCCAGUGUGUAUCAGGCCAGGACGACUUUUACACACCUGACAUCCAUAGGCUUACUAUCGUUCCCUAUUGUAACAGUUACUGAAACCACGAAUAAAAUAAUUAAUAAGUAAUAAUUAAGGAAGAUGUUUCUGACAUACGUUCUAUACAUUUAAUGUUUCUUACGUACGUUCUUUGCACAAUAAAAUAAAUUGAAUAAUAGUACCGCAGUUAGAUCUAGCAAACAAAGAAACAAUAUGCUGGAGCGUAAAAAAAAAACAACAACCCUUGACCUCUAACUAGUGGACGGGUAUAAUUUAUCUAUACGUUUGACUGACCAUGCCAAUGUGUUAUUUUUUUAGACUGACACCCAACUCUAUUGCGUGCGUAUGCUCAAGGAAAAAAACAAUGCUUGAUGGUUAACACAAACAACUAUACACACUACACUAGGACUACAUGUGUAGGCUCAUUAGGUAUAUCUGACCAAGUUUGAUGGUCUGAAAUUCAUGAACACACACAUCCGACCACUAUACAAGGCAGACUGUACUUAACUUAUGAGAUUUACAUUACUAACUAGUUAAAUAUAUACUAACAUUCAUGCUAUACAGAUUUACUGUUAAGUUUGAAUAAAUCAAUCAGUAACAGAGUUUAAAACAAUAAGGUAUAUAAAAGGAAAAAAAAACAACCAAUAUAGGUAUGUUAUUUAACAGUUUCGUAAAAUGUUCAGCAAUACAAGAUAUUUACAAGACACUUAGGUAUCCGUCCCCGGCCGAAUAUCAAAUUUUACUAUCCGGUCGUAUCCGGCCCCGGUCGGAUAUCAAAAAGUACAAUCCGGUGCACCCCUAAUAUAUAUUUAUAUAUAUUGUUGUAACCCUGCCUUGCACCAGUGCUUGAGGUGCGCACUAGUGAACGUAAACAGAAAGACUCUAGAAUGGAGAGAAGAACAGUGCAUCAGGGAUUGUGAAGAGUCUGAAUGUUUGGGAAACUAAGAGGCCAACUUUUGUGCUACCUGAAGGUUGUAGUAGGGACCUGGGGCGUAGCGGGGAAGGCUGUCUUUGGUCCACAUUCGGGUUAAGUAGCAAAGGACUGGUAUACUUAGUAGUAAGACUCUGGGGAAGCUAAAGGAUGUUAUGUGUUUACCCUGGUGAAUAAACACCUGUAUUUAUUUUCUGUUAAACUGUGUUGAGUUACCUACCUUUACGUUGAGUGCCUACCGUAGAGUUGCAACAAUAUAUAUACUUACAACUUAGAAAAAUAUGCUAGCUAACUGCAGUAUGUCUUUUAAUUCAUAUUUAUACUGUAUGUUACAUUUACUUUAACUUUUUUCACAUUCCCAAUUGAGGAAUUACAACAAGAGUUUGCAAUUUCUGAAACCAAUUUUACUAUUUAAAAAUAAUAAUACAAUAAUUGCUAUAGUCUUUUUACAUCACAACAUUACAUCGUAAAUGUACAGCUGUACUUAAUGUGAAGUAUUUAACUGUUUACACUCGUGCCUAAUGUUCCUGAACCGUGGAACUAGCUUACUAGUUGUUAUACUUGUGACUGCUGUCAAAUUAGUCAUUCACCAUCAACCUGUGAUUACACUUGUUUAUUUUCCAAAAAAAAAUGCUUCUUUACAUAUGUAUGUGUACCCAAAUAAUGUUAAAGCUUAGCAGCAAAGUUUUUUAAAGUGUGGAAAUAAAACUUCUGGCACCCAUUAAGCUACCGCGGAAGUACUGACAUGAACUUCUCUUACAGGUCAUAAUUUACAUGAAGUUGUGUUCUCCGGAGCUGAAUUAGCUUCUGCUCUAAAUGGUGAGCUGAUGGUAUUGAAAACUGUUUUUUUGGCGUCAAUUCCAUAAGGAAUCCAAUAAGUCUGGUACUUUUAACCAUUUCACUAUAAAUAUUUUCACCUUUUAACAAAGGAAAAUGACAAAACCUUUUUUCACUUGUUGGCCUGGAGAAAUUGGAAAUUCUUCACUAGAAAUAUUAGUCACAAGGUCAUAGUCCAUGUGGCCCUCGGGCUGUAAUUUGCCCACCCCUGCAGUAGAAGGAACUUUUAGUUGCUCCAUUUUACUAAGCCUGUAAUGAAGUAUUCAGUUAAAAAUAAUAAAGGUUAUGAGUAUACUGUACAUUUUGUGAUACACAUUAAGAUUUUAUAUAGCCUCUUAACCUACAUACAUAUAGAAAUACUUAUCAAUACGGAAUUGCACUUUUGUUUUUAUACUCAAAUUUUUUAUUGCAUUAUAUAACUUUAUAUAUUGUGAGGUCAGGUACCAAUAGAUGCACAUCAUAUCAGAUGUUACUUGUGGACCAGUUCCUGGAUCAUAUGAUAAUGCUAGAGCUGAAUAUGACAUCUGUUCCACCCCUGAAGUCAAGCACUUUAUCACUAGGAAACCAUGCCCCCCUGACAAUUCAUUAGCUUAAGUGUCAAAGAAAACAGUCCAUGCUUUAGCCACAUUAGAGCAUCUUUUUGAUUGGCAAUGGUGCACUGGAAAGAUUUGUGCAGACUCCAUCCUGUGGUUCAGCUCAUGAACAGAAUGAUACACACAAAAUGUCAGGAGGCAGGAUUGGUGAAGUGGGAAAUUCUCCAACCUGACUUGAUAAUUACUGAUGCAUUAAUCUUCUAUAACUCCAGAUCAAGAAACAAAAAAAUGAAGAGGGUGCUCCAGAACUGUACAUGUCAUUGUGACAUUACCAUUAAGAUAAAUAUCUUUGUAUCAUAAAUAGACCUACAGUUCAGAAGCCAAGUGCUUAACUUCUCAGCCAGUAACCCAAAUGUUCAGUGUAAAAGCCAUACUGACAAGAUAGAGAACAAUUAUGGAUAAUGAAAUUCAUCAAUCAAUUGAACUGUAAUUUCCUGGAUAUUUGACAUGUUGGUUAUAAAUGUAUCAAUAGUAUUGUCUAAAGAUAUUCAAUUGAUAACAACCAAUCUUUUGUUUGUCACUUA
This is an RNA transcript of Biomphalaria glabrata, 6363 nucleotides long. RefSeq lists it as uncharacterized. The record is from RefSeq and is a predicted model, not a curated record. The transcript is spliced from 6 exons. Lineage: Eukaryota; Metazoa; Mollusca; Gastropoda; Planorbidae.